UCUCUCUUCUUGUUUAACUUUAAGUUGCCCUAGGGCGAUGAUGCCAACCCUUGAGCCUACAGCCGCUGGCUUCUUCUCUUUUUUUCCAUUCUUCUUCCUUUCGUUUCUAUUUUUCAUAUUUCUUUUUCAACAUUUUUUUAUUCAAAUCUAAUAGUUAAUCAAUCUCUUUUGAGGGCUUAAGUAGCGAGUCACCAUAUUUGAUGGUUACUUCCACUUGAAAGGGUGUGA
RNAcentral lists this long non-coding RNA (228 nucleotides) under Gossypium raimondii (Peruvian cotton). RNAcentral's name for it is "long non-coding RNA (GRAI_LNC005124)". Lineage: Eukaryota; Viridiplantae; Streptophyta; Magnoliopsida; Malvales; Malvaceae. The record is from RNAcentral.